This 28-nucleotide non-coding RNA is filed under the name Cricetulus griseus (Chinese hamster). Lineage: Eukaryota; Metazoa; Chordata; Mammalia; Rodentia; Cricetidae. The record is from RNAcentral.
UUCAGCUUUGGGUGCUGACGGUGGGGGU